RNAcentral lists this long non-coding RNA (1205 nucleotides) under Mus caroli (Ryukyu mouse). RNAcentral's name for it is "lncRNA (MGP_CAROLIEiJ_G0006280.1)". The record is from RNAcentral. Lineage: Eukaryota; Metazoa; Chordata; Mammalia; Rodentia; Muridae.
UGUUAUAAAGGAACCUCCAUUUUAUAGUUUUCAAUCAGGGAAUUGUUUUAAAGAUUUUUAUUUAUUUAUUUUUUGUUACACAUUAUACAUCUGCAGUGUGUAUGUGGGAUGCCUUUGGAGACCAGAAGAGGAUUUGUGAAAUUAAAGAAGACUAGGGCUAUGCUGGAUCUGUGAGACAGAAGGAGCACUGACCCCUCAGGCAUCAUGUGGAGGAGCUGACUGGUUAUGAACUUUCACUAUGGACUAUAUAGGGCGUCUGAGAAGCAGAACGAUGCCGUCAACCCAGAAUCCAAACAACUUGGAAGUAUUGAGUGAAGGCAGAGACCCCGAAGCCACACAUAGAAUGCUUUACAAUCCUGUAAUUGUCCUCAAGGACAACAUGAGCAGAAAGGAGAUAGAACUUCACUUAAGCUGAAUGAAAUUCCAUUGGUACAAGCUUCACAUUUCAUCAUCUAAUCCCCUGUUAACACCACCUGGGAUGCUUCCAUUUCCUCACCAUUGGAAAAGAAUGGCAACAAACAUGGAGAUCUGGCCAGAAGAGUCCAAAGAAACCAGUUUCAGCCUCUGGUUCAAAGGAAGAAUUUGCAAGGAGAAUGAGAAGCUGUUAAUGUUGGCUUCUGCUCAGAGCCCCGCCCUAUUCACUCCUCAUGCCCACAUAGACUCUUCCCUGGCCAGGCAAGACAAUGAAAUCAUCCAUCCUUAACUGAUUAUGUGAAUCUCCCCGGGCUUAAAUAUGUGCCGAACUACAGGGACCAACCCAGGAAGCAAACAGCAGAUCAAGGAAUUGUCUGUCAAGACACAAGAAACACUGGGGACAGUUUAUGCUAAUGGGAGCAAUUUUUCCUAGACUUAAACAACACCAGACUCCAAAGCUCUGUGAGCAUUUGGCAGAAAUAAUCCAUAGACUUAUCUUUCUUGCUUACAGUGGCUUCUACCCAUAUCUCUUCUUUAUGGUCAUAGCAACCACACCUCAGGAAAGUAUACCACAGCUACACUUUCCUGGUUUAUUCUUCUGUAUUUUUAUCUGAACGCACUCUCACUUUCAGACGUGAAUUGUCUGCUUGGUUUACUGUUGUGUGUUUUGCCAAAUGGGCUUUUUUUCUCCUUCUCCACACACAUAUGUAGACUUGUGGUCACUGUACUAACUCCCUCAAAAGCUACUAAAGACCCCAAUGAUAGAAUCUAGUGAAUUGCAUUACCUUUAA